CAGCCGCCGCGGUAAUACGGAGGGGGCUAGCGUUGUUCGGAAUUACUGGGCGUAAAGCGCGCGUAGGCGGUUACUCAAGUCAGAGGUGAAAGCCCGGGGCUCAACCCCGGAACUGCCUUUGAAACUAGGUGACUAGAAUCUUGGAGAGGUCAGUGGAAUUCCGAGUGUAGAGGUGAAAUUCGUAGAUAUUCGGAAGAACACCAGUGGCGAAGGCGACUGACUGGACAAGUAUUGACGCUGAGGUGCGAAAGCGUGGGGAGCAAACAGGAUUAGAGACCCCCGUAGUCCCUGUCUCUUAUAC
Molecule: ribosomal RNA, 301 nt
Filed under: uncultured bacterium
Lineage: Bacteria
Description: partial 16S ribosomal RNA
Rfam family: Bacterial small subunit ribosomal RNA
Source: RNAcentral